This is a long non-coding RNA of Papaver somniferum (opium poppy), 7929 nucleotides long. RefSeq lists it as uncharacterized. The record is from RefSeq and is a predicted model, not a curated record. Lineage: Eukaryota; Viridiplantae; Streptophyta; Magnoliopsida; Ranunculales; Papaveraceae. The transcript has 17 exons.
CAUUCCGAUGUUUAGCACAGAUGUCGAAUACUUUUUACCUUUCGAAAUUCGAAGUUCUUUCACUAUAUUCUGAAUAAUUUUUCAGAUAGAUUGUGUAAAAUCGAGAUAUUUCACCCAUAUCCGCAUAGUUGCAGUGGUUCUUAUUUUACUUUCAUUUAAAUCUACGAAUGGAAACCCUAAUUGCACAUUACUAGCAUAGUUGCACUGGUUCUUAUUACUAGCAUCAUCAGAUCAAUAAAAGGAAUCGAUCUGCCUCUUUCAUCUCCCUUUGGAUCCAUCUCCUCUACGAAGCCAGGAUAAAAUUCUCAAUAGUGGAGACUCAUCCACCGGAGGAAGAAACAGAGAGGAAAAUCAUCUUUCAGGCUUGACCUGGAUGUACAAUGGCUUCAUGAUAAUGAGUUUGGUUUGUAGCGAGAUUAGUGUUGUUUGAACCAAUCUUUAUGCAUCAAAUGAAUCUUAUGAGGCAUGUAAAUUGAAAUUCGUAGAUUUUAAAGGAGCAUCAUUGGACACAGAGUUCGCCAUGCACGGCGGGAAGGAUAAUGUCAAAAUUUUGUUUCUUCAAGGACAGGCAUACAUGGCAUUUAAUGCUUGUGACGCUGUUGUGGAUACCUGAUAUAGCAUCCAUUAACAAAAACUAGCAACAACUAGGAUUUGAAUAAACUAUUGGAAUAAAAUAUUGCAGAAAUACAUGUUCAAAUGGCGAGCUUCAAAACACCCGCAUACAAUGAUGAAACUAAUCGAGUUACAGAUAGCCGGUUAUGGAAUUAUUCCUUGAUAUGGAUUAAUUCCAUAACUGGAAUUAAUUUCAGUUCAUUGAUAUGGUUUUCUACUGUAAUAGUUUUUUCUUGCAGGUUUUUUUCCGGGUAAAGUCAAGUCCGAUAGAUUCUCGGCCAAGAUUAUAUCUUGGGGUUUUCCAUACAUGCUUCUAUUCAGUGUCGUCUAAUAUCUGCGUGAAUUGUUCUCCUAUCAUGGAUCUUCCUGCAUAUUUUCCCAUGAUGCAACUCCCUUGAAGAAAUCCAAGGUACAAUUAUUUCAGGCUUCUACGAAAUACCUUUUAAGCAAUCACUGUCUUGAUUAUAGUUUUUCAGUUCCCGUUUUCAAUUAAAUUUAUAGAGAGUAUGAAAAGGUCCUUCAGUUCCUUUUUUUUGAUGGUAUUAACUUAAAUUUAUAUUUUGAACUCUCUUUAUGUUAUUGAAUUGGUAUAAUAUCUGGAGGAGCCUUGAAAGGGUAUUCAUCCGCAUAGUUAACUUAGGAAAGCUAUCUUUCAUUACACUAAAAAAUCAUCUAUCGUGUUUUGAUAUCCGACCCUAAUUAUCCCCUUUUGUCUCGGUGUUAAUUUGACACUAAAAAAUCCCAUAUUUAUUAAAAGAAAUUAGGUUGAGUUUUAAUUCAUAUCUUCGAAGCAAAGAGAUGAUGAGUAAAGAUGGAUGUAUCCUUUUACUCUUCCAGAAGAAAGAAAUCAUAAGUUCUUUCUUCUCUGUUAUUCUUUUUGCUCUUUAUGCUCUAGGCUUCUGGCCGUUAAAAAUUUGUUACGGAAGGAAUUUGAACCCUAGGUUUUAAAUGUCAAUAUUAUCAAGAAUAAGAUGAGGCGGGGGAGUGAUGGAGAUUUGCCGAUCAGGUAUUUUGAUUUCUUCUUCCAUAUUCUUUCUAAAUUUGUGGGAUUUUAAAUCUUGAAUUUUAAUUAUGGAUUUUGAAUAAUUAUUAAUAUGAAAUAUGAAUUGGGGUUUUAUUUAUAUUACUAAUGGUACAACUCUGGGGGCUUUGUGUUACCAAACAUUGAUUGUCCCUCACAUCACUUGAGAAUGAAUCUAUGAAUGUUGUUGAAAGUUGAACCUAAUGUUACAGGUCCAUCUUAUAUCUUCUUUUUUGUUGUUGUUGAUAGUUAAGUCCAUAUUAUACCUGCAUAUUUGUAUUCAACAACGAUGAUUCACUUGAAUAAACCUAUAUGAAAUUAUUGAAAAUCCAAUAAAUUUAAGUGAAGCAUUAUUGAAUUUGCUUACCUCUAUAAUGAUAUCCCCUAUGAGUAUUUAUCUUACCACCAGCUAAUGAAUCUUGACCAUGUGUAUAUUGUAUAAUCUCUAAUAAUCUCUAAAUUGUGUGUGUAUAUUUUUGAACCCGGACAGUGAUUGUAGUGAGGUGUGAAGAAGUUUACGUGCUUAUUGUUCUAAAAUUUAAAUCUUUAUUCAUAACUGCACGCGAAGUACCCACACGACCCUUAUUUUGUAGUGAAGCAAUUUUGGAGUUAAUGAAUAUCAAAGAAGUUAAUUUUUUUUUAAAGCUCAGCACUCCUGAUUGGGUCUUUAAUACCUUGUUGUCUUGCCACAACUUGCACAUCUCCUUGAUACUCAAUACUUUCUACCCUCCACAACCAAGAAGUAUUUUCGCCAGGAAGAUGAGGCGGUUUUCACUGCGAAUGACACAGAUAUAGGUUCAGUCUGGCUUUAAAUAUCUUGAAAAUUAAUCAUCUAUAUAUGGCUACCAACUACCAGUCUAGGUACUAUUGUUGAUAAUGGUGUGGAGAUCAUGAUGUAGCUAUUCGUGAUUGUUUUUGGAAUCAUUAAUUGCGGUUGAAGAUAAUAAAAUAUAAAGUAGAAGCAAAUCCUAGGGUUUUAUCUGGGCUUUAGCAAGAGAAUCAAUCACUUGAAGAAGAUAAAGAUGUAUCAGUGCCACAUCAAUGACAACGGUGGCGAAGUUUAAAAUAUAAAGGGACUAUAACAUCUGAAUUAUCUCCCGUGACAGAAUUUGAAAUGAAAAGAACUUUCAGGGUGGUGUGAGACUUAUUGAACUCAACAUCGUAUGUAACUUAUCAGGUUGUGAAGGCUUAAUGUGUUAUAAUUUGGUUUGCAACUGUCACAAGUAUCCUAUUGAACGUCUUAAUGCCACAACUAUUUGUCUUUAGUUGCUAAUGUCAAUCCAUACAUAUAGAUUUAGUUUAUGUCUUUACUAAUGUACACAAAUGUUGCACAUAUGUCUCUUUGCACUUCCUUGGUCCUUCUAAUGAAAGUGUGGCGCUGUUUUAGGAAUCCAAUUAAUGUUUUCGUCUAUUUUAGAAAUGCUUCGCUAAUUUUGUGCCUCUUGAAAAUAUUCAAACAUUGUUUUCAUGUUUUUGUCUAAAUUUUAUGUUGGUUAUUGCAUGCAACUUAAUGUGGUGGUUGUCUCUGGGACAAGGAUGAUCGUCGGAUUGGGCGAUCCUGUGUCCUGGAAAGACUGGCAGCGAGAGUAAUUUGGGGCCGUCGAUUUGGGCGAGGUAUAUUUUUGAACAUUGGAUGCCCUGGGUUCCCGAUUUGACCGUGUUUCCUUAGACGAAAAAAAGAAACAUGCUAUAUCUUUUCUCACUGCCACCGUUCUUCUGAAUUAUCUCUUCUAAAACUGCAUGCAAACCCUUUUCUCGAUUAUAUCUUUGAGUUCCCGAGCUUACCAUUCCAUUGAUAGGUUAAUGAACUUUCCCUGAGUAAUUCCAUUGAAGCAAAGCUGUUGGGAUAACACGUUGAUGUUUUAGGUAAUCCUAAUAUUUCUGUAUUCAAUUUAUUUUGUGCUCGAAAUAUCAUUGAGGAAGGCCCAAUCAUAAUAUCACCAUGAGACAGGAUAACACCAUUGAGCUCUGUGAAAUAUGUUGGAGAUGCUACUUUUAUGCCUUGGAAGUCUCCUUCUGAUUAUUGUUUGACAGCAACAAGGAGCUUGGGUAAAUUAGGUUGCACUUGAGUUGGUUAGCUCGACCAAACUUAUCUUAUUAAUUAAAUUUUUUGGUUUGUUUUGUUUUUCUGAGCCUGAUUAUCUAGACAUGCCAGGGAAUCAAUGUUGUGUCACUUUGGGGUCUAAAUUGUUGACAUUUGCCUGGCAAAACAAGGUUCCUAAGUGGGGGUUUAAUCAACUUUCAGGAGCUCUAAUCUCUACUUGCCGAAAGUGAAAUGCUGCUCAAGACUUCGUUUCUGUAGAUGACUGCUUAGGUUUACUGAGUAAGCUGAAGAGCACAUGGUUCUCGAUCAUGUAGUUGUGGGUUCGACUCCCACAUAUGGCAUUGUUAUUAUUCGAGUAGGUGAAAACGAAUAAAAUUAUUUGCGCCAUAUAGCUAAUAUUUCCUUCCUCGCCACUGGUACCUCUUAUGCAAAACCCAAGAAAAUUGUUUUCUCCCUCUCGAUUCACCUUGUUGAGUGAUUUUGUGAUGUAAUGAUUGGAUUUGACUCAUCAGAAGCUAUCAAUGGAAGCCCGGUGUUGAUUAUAUUGUGUCAGAGAACAUGAAUAGGAGCUCUCUCUCCAUCUCGCAAAAAGUUUUGGAUUAGGUUACUCGGCAACAAAGUUUUAAAUUCUUGAACCACCCUCUUCAGGAAUUCAAUGAAGAUUUUGUCUCUUUUGGGUUUCUCAAUUAGCUUAUGAGUGAAUUGCAGUACUGGAAUAAUGACAAGCAGGUUCCCUACCCUAAAAUGAUAUUCAAUGAAUUUGUGCAAGAGCGCUGUCUCCAAAAGUCCGUUAAGAACCUGAACAAAUUAUCUUUGUGGACUCUCUCCUCUUCACAGACCGACCUAAGAAUAAUAUAACAAGGAAUCCAGUAAUCGCAUCCGGCAAUGUAAUUACCAACAUUGGCUUGGAUGGAGCCUGCAGAUUCAACAGUUGACACUUUUGGUUCAAUGUCCAUUCCAACGUAACCUCAUUACUGAACCAUUCUUUGCCUUUUUACUUUCUUAUAUUCGUCGACCUACACAUUUGGCAUUAACUGUAUGUAUCUGCUGUUGUAUACAUAUCCAUUCAUGCUUAAAAUUUUACGUCGUACUAUCUAGAAGAAUUUUGUGGACCAUCUGAUGAUGAUGACGACAUGGAUACACAGAGUAUUGUAAACCAGAAAGCUAAUCUAGACCUAUCUGGCUAGGCAAUAAACAAGUCUCAUUAAAACUGCACUGACUAGGUAAUAAGCAGGACUCAUUAAAACUGCAGUGUAAGCUUCUUCGAUGUUGACAUAAUUAGAUAUCUUCUCCUAAACUAUAUAUAUAUGUGGUACUUAUUGUUACUGAAAAGGUUAUGUUGCAUCUGUAAGCAGAAUACGCACCUUUGUUCCAUCUACUUAUGAUGGAACAGCGUGUCCAAAAAUCAUCUGUCUCCUACAUUUCUAAGAAGUCAACCUUAUAUGAGAUGUGGUAAGCAUGAAUUCCACAAAUAUUGGACAAAUAGUCAUUUACAUACUCUUUAAGUCACCGAUCUCCUUCAUUAUGUUGUUGUUGAUGUUAUUGUUAAGAUGUGGCAGAUAACUACUGAGUGGUACAGAGCAGAUUCGUUGGAGAUAUCACACUUUGCCUUACAAAUGCUGACCUACGAAGUGUAUGCAACAAUCAGUGAAUAUGCGAAAAAUCAAUGAACCACUGAACUGUACAAUGCCCUUGAUCACUUUUAGCUAAGUUACUUGAUUUUUCAUUUUCUUUUAUCUCGCUAUCGCUGAAUAGGAUAUAUCUAUAUAUUAUAUACGGCGUUUUCCGAUUUCAGGUUCGUGCUUGGUGAAAAAGCGUAUAACAUGCUUGGCGAAAAGGCAUAGAUGGUAGUUAGGAAUAUGAUUACCAGAAAGUAAGGGAAUUCAAAACACAUGGGUGGUGGUGGGUUUAGGACCCUCUCUAGAGAAUAUGGUUCCUGGGAUUGGGAUUCCCUUCCCACCAUCCAAAUAUGCUAUAUGUGAUCACACCUAGAAGAUUUACACAAGGCCUUGAAGCCUUAUGAAGAAGAACAGGUAGCAGCUGGAUCCUAAACAAUUUUUUUUUGGCAAACACUUAGAGGUAAUUCUGAUGGCAAGAAAAACCUUUAAAUCUGGCCACUCAACUUAUUCAAAUCUUCAUCUGCUUUCAAACUACAUAACCUUUAAAUAUGGAGUGGGUCAUAUUCUUUGUUAUUUGUGGCUGUUCGAUGCAAGUUUGUUUUUUUACAUAGUUUCUGGAUCCUUUUCCUCAUCUUUCAGAGCACUUUAAACACUAAAGGGUUCUAUGUUUUUUUUUAAAUUCUGUUUGAUUUUUCAAAUUUAGAUUUGUAUUAUUGUUUAUGUAACUGUGUAUAUUGCAACAAUCUCUAAUUGGGUGUAUGGCGCAGACUUAUCUAUUGUACGAGAUUGCUGAAUUUGGUGAUUUAUGUUAUGUGAAAUUAAAGUUUUUCAACUGCUCUGAUUUCCAAUUCAUUGUUGAAAAGCUAUAAUCAUCUCUUCAUACUAAACUUGAUUGGGUAUAUAUCUCAGCACCUGCUGUAGCUUAUUUGGGACGUCUCACAGCUGAUUUAUGGGCGAUGGACGAAGUGAUUUUUCCUCCAAACAUAUUCGUAUUCGAUUGGAUUCUUCUCUUGGAAUUUAAGGGUUCAGAUGUAUUCUGGAGAACACCACAACCCUUAGUAUUUUAUGAAAUGGUAUCUGUUGUCUUAGCUCAAACGGAAGAGAACAUGGUUCUCAACCAUGUAGUUGUGGUCGACUCCUACAGAUGGCAUUAUAUGUGAGUAGGCAGCGCUGUAUACUGCCAAUGGUUUCGUUAUUUGAUUCUAUCGGAGUGGGACUCCAACAUAAGAUUUGGAUGAAUAAUAAACUCUUGGCUAUACUCUUGAGGUUUUGUUCUCUCGGAGUGGGACUCCAACAUAACAUAUGGAUGAAUAAUAAACUCUUGGAUAUACUCUUGAGGUUUUGUUCUUGAAGAAGCACGAUUCUGCCGUCAGCGCAUAUUCAACCAGAUGAAGUUUUGUUACAGAGUUCUUCAUUUAAUUCUGAUAGGUGCACUUUGGUUUCAUUCAGUUUUUGAAGGGAUAGCCAUUGGAAUUGCAGGUAUUCUACUAACCGUUGCAAUAUAUAACUGGACAAGACGUUCACCUACUUAGAAACGAUCCUGGGCUUGAUGGAGGGUGGAUAGUGGUUCCACAUGGUACAUAAGAAAUGCACUAAAAAAGUUGAUUAUGAUGAUGAGUCUUCCUGCAGCAAGUGCAAAAAAGAUUUUGAAGAAGUGCAAUGGCAAUUGUAAUCCACAAAUUAAACCUAGCCGCAAGGGAUGCCACAUCAACUGCUGUAUUUACUGUGAUGGGAGAGACUGCGGAAAAAAACGGCGGAAAGUAGAUUAGAUGCACUGCUGAUGAACAUGUUAAUUACAAGGUACACUGCAACGAGGUAUGCACAAGUUAACAUGGAUAAUUGUUAUGAUUGAAUGGAUGUUCUACGGUGGAAUCAUGUUCACCAAGUUAUAUUGUCUAAUUGGAGGUCAACUAAGCAGAGCAGGCAGAAAGUUGAUUUAACAAGAUCAAGAUGAAACUCUUAUUUUCAAAUUGGUCAUUAGGGAGUGCAAUAUAACCAACCAAUCUGGCAAAUUCACAGUUCUAAAAUUUUUCGAAGUCAGAUAAUUUUGAAUCGAAAGAUUCCGAUGCGGUUGCAGAUAACAAAAUACAACAUUAAUUAGGUACGGUAUGAUACGGAUUUCGUCAUGUCCACAGGAUCCAGACGCAGAAAAUGUUGUGCCACCUAUCAAGGAGAAAGAGGAAAAAGUUAAGAGAGGAAGGAAGAGGAAACCAACAAUCAAAGUUGGAGUAACAGCAUGAAAGCACCAAGGACACCAGUCAAAACCGGAUAACUAUCAGGGAGACGGGCAUCAAGAUGUCAUCCCCAAGAAUCUUCCAAAUAAGAGAUGAAGAUAGUUGAUCCAUGAUAUUAGAUCUUUCUGUUUGCCAAGCUCGACCUUUCGGGGGAGAAACCAAGGCCUUCGGACUGUAAAUUUAAAUUACCUCAGGGAGUUGUAAAUUACCACUGGACCAAGUGUUGUUCUAUGUAUACUUUUAACCUAGGAAUCUACGAUGGCGUAGGACUGAGUGUGCAUAAAAAAUCAAAAUAGGCUAAAUACAUUUGGUGAAUAAGAAUCUUAAAUUUCUAUGUAUACUUUUAACCUACAAAAACUGAUGAUUUCUCUAAGCUUAAACCGUUAUAUGCUUCUUAGA